AAAACGGCUGUUUUUCUUUGGACUGAGAAGGAAAAAGUUCUCAGCUAUUAAAGAUUCUGAAAUUUCCAGUUUAUUGAAGAAAAAAAGAAAAAAGUUUCAGCCGUGGCUCUUCUCCCCACACACCUUAUUCAUUUUUUUCCCAGAUGCUUGUAAUGGAGAGAAAAAAUGAGGAGAGGAAAGAUGUAGUUAUCUAACCCAGUGAAAUGUGGUUAGCUGGUUCCAGAUUUUCUUCAUUUUUUCCUUUUCAUUCUAAUAACACUUACACAUUCAUUUGUAUUUCACACAGGCCCCAGAAACCUGAAACAAUAUGACUGUAUGCUGUGCAGCUGAUGGAUCUUUUCUGUGCACAUUUGGAAAAUACACCCUGCUGAAAGAGUUCUGGACAAUCACAUCUUCACUGAACACAGAGGCCCACAGAUAUCUUGGAAGGAGAAUUUUUAAGGUGCUGCCCACGCAAAGUUACUAAAGAAGAGAAGAUAGUAUUAUGUAAUACUGCUCAAGUGUGCUCAUUGACCUGGUUAGUGAGAUGAAGUUGCUGAACAACAUUGGUGUGAAUACCAACAAGAAGCCAGAAGAUCAAAGAACUAUCCACUGUUUAAAAAGAUCUUCUCAGGAGAGAAAGGCACAGUGAAGGGGGUCAGUUCUUAGAUGCUGAUUCUGUUGGGAACAGACAGUGAUGGAAGAGAAGGAAUUCUCUCGUAAAGGAAAAAUAAAGUUUUUUUUUUUUUCUUUCUUGUAGUGUAU
This 744-nucleotide long non-coding RNA is filed under the name Phasianus colchicus (ring-necked pheasant). Its description in RNAcentral is "lncRNA (ENSPCLG00000019626.1)". Lineage: Eukaryota; Metazoa; Chordata; Aves; Galliformes; Phasianidae. The record is from RNAcentral.